Non-coding RNA from Microcebus murinus (gray mouse lemur), 744 nucleotides. Lineage: Eukaryota; Metazoa; Chordata; Mammalia; Primates; Cheirogaleidae. The record is from the annotation of a RefSeq genome assembly.
CAGAGACCCGGUUGUGUGCUGCAGGGGCAGCAGCUGCUAGCACAAAAGCAACUGUCUGAGGAACCUACCCAGGCACACUGGGCCCCAAUAAGCUAGCCCCAACCCCCAAACCCCCUCUUGAGGUGCCAGUGCAGAGCAAGAAAGGGAAAGAGGAAGUGUGAACAGCAGACACUAGCAGGAGCAGAGACUUCCUGAGCAAACCGUCUCCCAGAACCAGCGAAACGAACCCGGAAGACCAGGAACCUGAGCAGGGAGACACCAGGUCCCAUCCUGCGUGACGCUGCCAUGGACUCCAGGCUCAUCUUCUGUGUGGUCCUUUGCCUCCUGGGAGAAGGCCCUGUGGACACUGGAAUUACCCAGACACCAAAAUACCUGGUCGCUGUGGUGGGGAGUAAAAGGAGCCUGACAUGUGAACAACAUCUGGGUCACAAUUCCAUGUAUUGGUACAGACAGGAUGCUGAGAAGUCGCCGAAGCUCAUGUUCUUCUACAACUAUAAGGAGCUCAUUGAAAAUGGGACUGUUCCUAUUCGCUUCACACCUGACUAUCCGGAUAGUUCUCACUUGUACCUUCACGUGGACGCCCUGGAACCGCAUGACACAGCCAUGUAUCUCUGUGCCAGCAGCAAAGGCACAGCCUUGCAGAGCCACUUCCUCCCUGUGCACAAACCUCCUGGGUCUAGCCGUGAGGCUAUGAGGGCAAUGUGUCCACUGGAGCCCUGAGACUUGGUGCGGCAGGAGCUGACA